GAUGAAGAACGCAGCGAAAUGCGAUAAGUAAUGCGAAUUGCAGAAUUCCGUGAGUCAUCGAAUCUUUGAACGCACAUUGCGCCCUUUGGUAUUCCAAAGGGCAUGCCUGUUCGAGCGUCAUUUGUACCCUCAAGCUUUGCUUGGUGUUGGGCGUCUUGUCUCUAGCUUUGCUGGAGACUCGCCUUAAAGUAAUUGGCAGCCGGCCUACUGGUUUCGGAGCGCAGCACAAGUCGCACUCUCUAUCAGCAAAGGUCUAGCAUCCAUUAAGCCUUUUUUUCAACUUUUGACCUCGGAUCAGGUAGGGAUACCCGCUGAACUUAAGCAUAUCAAUAAGCGGAGGA
RNAcentral lists this unclassified non-coding RNA (341 nucleotides) under soil metagenome. Its description in RNAcentral is "partial contains 5.8S ribosomal RNA, internal transcribed spacer 2, and large subunit ribosomal RNA". The stretch from base 1 to 120 matches the Rfam family "5.8S ribosomal RNA", at positions 35 to 154 of the family's 154-position model. The record is from RNAcentral.